RNAcentral lists this ribosomal RNA (762 nucleotides) under uncultured Segetibacter sp. RNAcentral's name for it is "bacterial SSU rRNA". It matches the Rfam family "Bacterial small subunit ribosomal RNA", at positions 8 to 796 of the family's 1533-position model. Lineage: Bacteria; Pseudomonadati; Bacteroidota; Chitinophagia; Chitinophagales; Chitinophagaceae. The record is from RNAcentral.
AGAGUUUGAUCCUGGCUCAGAACGAACGCUGGCGGCAUGCCUAACACAUGCAAGUCGAACGAGACCUUCGGGUCUAGUGGCGCACGGGUGCGUAACGCGUGGGAACCUGCCUUUAGGUUCGGAAUAACUCCCCGAAAGGGGUGCUAAUACCGAAUAAUGUCUUCGGACCAAAGAUUUAUCGCCUUUAGAUGGGCCCGCGUUGGAUUAGCUAGUUGGUGGGGUAAAGGCCUACCAAGCCUUCGAUCAGUAACUGGUGUGAGAGCACGACCAGUCACACGGGCACUGAGACACGGGCCCGACUCCUACGGGAGGCAGCAGUAAGGAAUAUUGGUCAAUGGAGGCAACUCUGAACCAGCCAUGCCGCGUGAAGGAUGAAGGUCCUCUGGAUUGUAAACUUCUUUUAUGUGGGAAGAAAUGCAUUCUUUAUAGAGUGUUUGACGGUACCAUAGGAAUAAGCACCGGCUAACUCCGUGCCAGCAGCCGCGGUAAUACGGAGGGUGCGAGCGUUAUCCGGAUUUACUGGGCGUAAAGCGUGCGUAGGUGUCUUCUUAAGUCUUCGGUGAAAUCUCCGGGCCCAACUCGGAAACUGUCGAAGAUACUGGGAGGAUCGAGUAUGGCAGAGGCAGAUGGAAUUGAUGGUGUAGCGGUAAAAUGCGUAGAUAUCAUCAAGAACACCCAUGGCGAAGGCAAUCUGCUGGGCCAUUACUGACACUGAGGCACGAAAGCGUGGGGAGCGAACGGGAUUAGAUACCCCGGUAGUCC